This 879-nucleotide ribosomal RNA is filed under the name Lactifluus sp. Its description in RNAcentral is "partial large subunit ribosomal RNA". It matches the Rfam family "Eukaryotic large subunit ribosomal RNA", at positions 75 to 923 of the family's 3401-position model. The record is from RNAcentral. Lineage: Eukaryota; Fungi; Basidiomycota; Agaricomycetes; Russulales; Russulaceae.
UUCCCUUAGUAACUGCGAGUGAAGCGGGAAAAGCUCAAAUUUAAAAUCUGGUGGUCUUUUGGCCAUCCGAGUUGUAAUUUAGAGAAGCGUCUUCCGCGCUGGACCGUACACAAGUCUCCUGGAACGGAGCGUCAUAGAGGGUGAGAAUCCCGUCUUUGGUACGGACCCCCAGGGCUUCUGUGAUGCGCUCUCGAAGAGUCGAGUUGUUUGGGAAUGCAGCUCAAAAUGGGUGGUGAACUCCAUCUAAAGCUAAAUAUUGGCGAGAGACCGAUAGCGAACAAGUACCGUGAGGGAAAGAUGAAAAGCACUUUGGAAAGAGAGUGAAACAGUACGUGAAAUUGUUGAAAGGGAAACGCUUAAAGUCAGUCGCGUCGACCGAGACUCAGCCUCGCUCCGGCUUGGUGUAUUUCUCGGCCCGACGGGUCAGCGUCAAUUUGGUCCCUCGGAUAAUGGCAACGGAAAGGUGGCACCUUUGCGGGUGUGUUAUAGUCUUUUGUCGCAUGCGAGGGGCGAGAUUGAGGAACUCAGCACGCACGCCCUUCUGGGUGUGUCGGGGCCUCGGCCCACGCCACGUGCUUAGGAUGCUGGCGUAAUGGCUUUAAACGACCCGUCUUGAAACACGGACCAAGGAGUCUAACAUGCCCGCGAGUGUUCGGGUGGAAAACCCGUGCGCGUAAUGAAAGUGAAAGUUGGGACCUUCGUCGUGAAGGGCACCGACGCCCGGACCAGACCUUCUGUGACGGAUCUGCGGUGGAGCGUGCAUGUUGGGACCCGAAAGAUGGUGAACUAUGCCUGAAUAGGGUGAAGCCAGAGGAAACUCUGGUGGAGGCUCGUAGCGAUUCUGACGUGCAAAUCGAUCGUCAAAUUUGGGUAUAGGGG